CCUACGGGUGGCAGCAGUGAGGAAUAUUGGUCAAUGGGCGCAAGCCUGAACCAGCCAAGUCGCGUGAGGGAUGACGGUCCUAUGGAUUGUAAACCUCUUUUGUCGGGGAGCAAGGCCCGCCACGUGUGGCGGGAAGGAGAGUACCCGAAGAAAAAGCAUCGGCUAACUCCGUGCCAGCAGCCGCGGUAAUACGGAGGAUGCGAGCGGUAUCCGGAUUUAUUGGGUUUAAAGGGUGCGUAGGCGGAAGGUUAAGUCAGCGGUCAAAUUGAGGUGCUCAACACCGGCCUGCCGUUGAAACUGGUCUUCUUGAGUGGGCGAGGAGGAUGCGGAAUGGGGGGGGUAGCGGUGAAAUGCAUUGAUAACA
This 364-nucleotide ribosomal RNA is filed under the name uncultured bacterium. RNAcentral describes it as "partial 16S ribosomal RNA". It matches the Rfam family "Bacterial small subunit ribosomal RNA", at positions 338 to 699 of the family's 1533-position model. The record is from RNAcentral.